This 274-nucleotide ribosomal RNA is filed under the name uncultured bacterium. Its description in RNAcentral is "partial 16S ribosomal RNA". It matches the Rfam family "Bacterial small subunit ribosomal RNA", at positions 523 to 796 of the family's 1533-position model. The record is from RNAcentral.
AUACGGAGGCUGCGAGCGUUAAUCGGAAUUACUGGGCGUAAAGCGUGCGUAGGCGGUUUGCUAAGUCAGAUGUGAAAGCCCCGGGCUUAACCUGGGAACUGCAUUUGAUACUGGCAGACUAGAGUAUGAUAGAGGGGGGUAGAAUUCCUGGUGUAGCGGUGAAAUGCGUAGAUAUCAGGAGGAAUACCAGUGGCGAAGGCGGCCCCCUGGAUCAAUACUGACGCUGAGGUACGAAAGCGUGGGGAGCGAACAGGAUUAGAUACCCUAGUAGUCC